RNAcentral lists this ribosomal RNA (252 nucleotides) under uncultured bacterium. RNAcentral describes it as "partial 16S ribosomal RNA". It matches the Rfam family "Bacterial small subunit ribosomal RNA", at positions 81 to 334 of the family's 1533-position model. The record is from RNAcentral.
CGUCGGGCCGGACCCGGGCGCACGGGUGAGUAACACGUACCCAACCUCCCCUUUACUCGGGGAUACCCUUACGAAAGAAAGAUUAAUACCCGAUAGCAUAAUGAUUCCGCAUGGUUUCAUUAUUAAAGGAUUCCGGUAAAGGAUGGGGAUGCGUUCCAUUAGGUUGUUGGUGAGGUAACGGCUCACCAAGCCUUCGAUGGAUAGGGGUUCUGAGAGGAAGGUCCCCCACAUUGGAACUGAGACACGGUCCAA